This 505-nucleotide ribosomal RNA is filed under the name uncultured bacterium. RNAcentral's name for it is "partial 16S ribosomal RNA". It matches the Rfam family "Bacterial small subunit ribosomal RNA", at positions 28 to 507 of the family's 1533-position model. The record is from RNAcentral.
GACGAACGCUGGCGGCGUGCCUAAUACAUGCAAGUAGAACGCACAGUUUAUACCGUAGCUUGCUACACCAUAGACUGUGAGUUGCGAACGGGUGAGUAACGCGUAGGUAACCUGCCUGGUAGCGGGGGAUAGCUAUUGGAAACGAUAGCUAAUACCGCAUAAUAUUAAUUAUUGCAUGAUAAUUAAUUGAAAGGUGCAAUUGCACCACUACCAGAUGGACCUGCGUUGUAUUAGCUAGUAGGUGAGGUAACGGCUCACCUAGGCGACGAUACAUAGCCGGCCUGAGAGGGUGAUCGGCCACACUGGGACUGAGACACGGCCCAGACUCCUACGGGAGGCAGCAGUAGGGAAUCUUCGGCAAUGGACGAAAGUCUGACCGAGCAACGCCGCGUGAGUGAAGAAGGUUUUCGGAUCGUAAAGCUCUGUUGUAAGAGAAGAACGGGUGUGAGAGUGGAAAGUUCACACUGUGACGGUAGCUUACCAGAAAGGGACGGCUAACUACGUG